RNAcentral lists this ribosomal RNA (517 nucleotides) under uncultured bacterium. RNAcentral's name for it is "bacterial SSU rRNA". It matches the Rfam family "Bacterial small subunit ribosomal RNA", at positions 355 to 888 of the family's 1533-position model. The record is from RNAcentral.
UGGGGAAUCUUGGACAAUGGGGGCAACCCUGAUCCAGCCAUGCCGCGUGAGUGAUGAAGGCCUUAGGGUCGUAAAGCUCUUUCGCCUGUGAAGAUAAUGACGGUAGCAGGUAAAGAAACCCCGGCUAACUCCGUGCCAGCAGCCGCGGUAAUACGGAGGGGGUUAGCGUUGUUCGGAAUUACUGGGCGUAAAGCGCACGUAGGCGGACCAGAAAGUUGGGGGUGAAAUCCCGGGGGCUCAACCCCGGAACUGCCUCCAAAACUAUUGGUCUAGAGUUCGAGAGAGGUGAGUGGAAUUCCAAGUGUAGAGGUGAAAUUCGUAGAUAUUUGGAGGAACACCAGUGGCGAAGGCGGCUCACUGGCUCGAUACUGACGCUGAGGUGCGAAAGUGUGGGGAGCAAACAGGAUUAGAUACCCUGGUAGUCCACACCGUAAAACGAUGAAUGCCAGUCGUCGGGUAGCAUGCUAUUCGGUGACACACCUAACGGAUUAAGCAUUCCGCCUGGGGAGUACGGUCG